Molecule: ribosomal RNA, 263 nt
Filed under: uncultured Eubacteriales bacterium
Lineage: Bacteria; Bacillati; Bacillota; Clostridia; Eubacteriales
Description: uncultured Clostridiales bacterium partial 16S ribosomal RNA
Rfam family: Bacterial small subunit ribosomal RNA
Source: RNAcentral
AGCUUGCUCCCUCAAGUUAGUGGCGGACGGGUGAGUAACGCGUGAGCAACCUGCCUCAAAGAGGGGGAUAACAUUCUGAAAAGGAUGCUAAUACCGCAUAAGCGCACAGCAUCGCAUGAUGCAGUGCGAAAAACUCCGGUGGUAUAAGAUGGACCCGCGUUGGAUUAGCUAGUUGGUGAGGUAACGGCCCACCAAGGCGACGAUCCAUAGCCGACCUGAGAGGGUGACCGGCCACAUUGGGACUGAGACACGGCCCAGACUCC